Molecule: ribosomal RNA, 478 nt
Filed under: uncultured bacterium
Lineage: Bacteria
Description: partial 16S ribosomal RNA
Rfam family: Bacterial small subunit ribosomal RNA
Source: RNAcentral
GACGAACGCUGGCGGCGUGCUUAACACAUGCAAGUCGAACGGUAAGGCCCUUCGGGGUACACGAGUGGCGAACGGGUGAGUAACACGUGGGUGAUCUGCCCUGCACUUCAGGAUAAGCCUGGGAAACUGGGUCUAAUACCGGAUAGGACCACUGCCUGCAUGGGUGGUGGUGGAAAGCUUUUGCGGUGUGGGAUGGGCCCGCGGCCUAUCAGCUUGGUGGUGGGGUGAUGGCCUACCAAGGCGACGACGGGUAGCCGGCCUGGGAGGGUGACCGGCCACACUGGGACUGAGAUACGGCCCAGACUCCUACGGGAGGCAGCAGUGGGGAAUAUUGCACAAUGGGCGCAAGCCUGAUGCAGCGACGCCGCGUGAGGGAUGACGGCCUUCGGGUUGUAAACCUCUUUCAGCACCGACGAAGCGCAAGUGACGGUAGGUGCAGAAGAAGGACCGGCCAACCACGUGCCAGCCGCCGCCGUAA